CAGGGAGACAAAACUGAUUUUGAUGUCUGAAUGAAUUUAUUUCAGGCCAUAAUCCUGUCACCUUAGGUCGAUCGGUACCUCAGUUUGAUAUAACAAAAACUAAGAAAUUAGUUUCUAUAGUUAUUAAAUUCAGUUCCUAAACUUUGUCUAGGCCAAACCCAGCAAUGGUACUCCUGGGCCAUUAGCUCAGGUGGUUAGAGCGCACCCCUGAUAAGGGUGAGGUCCCUGGUUCAAGUCCAGGAUGGCCCAUUCGGUGUUGGGGGUAUAGCUCAGUUGGUAGAGCGCCUGCUUUGCAAGCAGGAUGUCAGCGGUUCGAGUCCGCUUACCUCCACUGAUCAACCUUCUGAUAACUGAGUCUAAGGAGAUUUUUGUUGUUCUGGUCUAGAAUUUUGUUCUUAAUGAAUGAACCUAGCUCCUUGUCAUUCUUACUAAAAAAAUAGUAUUUGAUUGAUAGGACGCUGGGCUCGCUGCAAUAAUUUUGCAGAGAACUUCAGUAGAACCUUGACAACUGCAUAGGUGAGUUUGAAAAGAAUAAAGCAUCUCAUGGAUGCAUUAUUCUUUUGAAUCAUGUUUAAAAUUUGAUUAAAUCAAAUUUUAUGGCAUGGUUUGAAAUUAUAAUGUUUGAUUCUUGAGCAAGAGCCGAGACUCUACAAUGAUUUUUUGAUACAUUUAAUGCAUCAAAAGUAGAUCUUUAGCUUCUCUCUUUAAACUAAAUUUUUUAGAUUUUCUAAAUUACUUAGCUUUAAAGAAGUUAUAGUUAAAGAUAUAUAGUGUCAAAACACAUUCAAUUGUAGAGAUUUAAU
Molecule: transfer RNA, 803 nt
Filed under: uncultured cyanobacterium
Lineage: Bacteria; Bacillati; Cyanobacteriota
Description: partial 16S-23S ribosomal RNA intergenic spacer
Rfam family: tRNA (bases 259-331)
Source: RNAcentral